UAAACUCGCGAGGAUUGUACGUAUAAA
This 27-nucleotide non-coding RNA is filed under the name Bombyx mori (domestic silkworm). Lineage: Eukaryota; Metazoa; Arthropoda; Insecta; Lepidoptera; Bombycidae. The record is from RNAcentral.